Molecule: transfer RNA, 34 nt
Filed under: Helocordulia uhleri
Lineage: Eukaryota; Metazoa; Arthropoda; Insecta; Odonata; Corduliidae
Description: partial tRNA-Asn
Source: RNAcentral
UUUAUUAAUUAGUCGAAGCCAAAAUAGAGGCUUA